UGUAACACUGAGUACUUUAGACACAGUUUGCCAUUUUGUCAUGACAACUGCUAUGAGGUUUGGUAUUAUCCUUGUGUUACAGAUGGGGCUGAGAAAAUCAAAUAACAUGAAUGAGUUCUGCCACUGGUCAAGCACAGGAACUGACAUCAAAAGCGAGUCUGUUGGGCACUGAAGCACACGUCCUUUCUUCUCUUGCUGGGCUUCCUCAUGGCUUGUUGGUCCAAGAGCAGACAAUACCAAGAAGAUCCUAGAAGAGGCUAAGCCACAUAGGAUGCAAUUCCAAACUGAAAAGUCACUCUUUCCAGGAGAAGAGUGGGCAGUGGGCAGAGAGAAGCCAGGACCAGGAGACUAAUUCUGAUAGAGAGGAAAUUUGGACAUACAUGGAGACACCUAGAAGGCACGGAUACAGAGGGAAGACCAUGUGAGGACACCCCAAGAAGGCAGCCAUCUGCAAGCCAAGGAGAGAGGUCUCAGAAGAAAUCAAAACUACUGACACCUUGAUCUUGGCCUUCUAGCCUCGAGAACGGUGGGAAAUAAACUUCUGUUUUUUAAGCCACCCGGUCUGUGGUAUUUUGUUAUGGCAGUCAUAGCAAACUAACAUAAU
Molecule: long non-coding RNA, 604 nt
Organism: Panthera uncia (snow leopard)
Lineage: Eukaryota; Metazoa; Chordata; Mammalia; Carnivora; Felidae
Exons: 3
Source: RefSeq, a predicted model, not a curated record